Molecule: ribosomal RNA, 253 nt
Filed under: uncultured Legionella sp.
Lineage: Bacteria; Pseudomonadati; Pseudomonadota; Gammaproteobacteria; Legionellales; Legionellaceae
Description: partial 16S ribosomal RNA
Rfam family: Bacterial small subunit ribosomal RNA
Source: RNAcentral
UACGGAGGGUGCGAGCGUUAAUCGGAAUUACUGGGCGUAAAGGGUGCGUAGGUGGUUUGAUAAGUUAGCUGUGAAAUUCCUGGGCUUAACCUGGGCAGGUCAGCUAAGACUGUUGGACUCGAGUAUGGGAGAGGGUAGUGGAAUUUCCGGUGUAGCGGUGAAAUGCGUAGAGAUCGGAAGGAACACCAGUGGCGAAGGCGGCUACCUGGCCUAAUACUGACACUGAGGCACGAAAGCGUGGGGAGCAAACAGG